UUUUAGUGGCGAACGGGUGAGUAACACGUAAGCAACCUACCCUAAAGACGAGGAUAACCAUUGGAAACAGUGGCUAAGACUGGAUAGGAAGAAAUAAGGCAUCUUUUUUCUUUUAAAAGACCUAGUGAUAGGUAUACUUUAGGAGGGGCUUGCGCCAUAUUAGUUAGUUGGUAGGGUAAUGGCCUACCAAGACGAUGAUGUGUAGCUGGACUGAGAGGUUGAACAGCCACAUUGGGACUGAGACACGGCCCAAACUCCUACGGGAGGCAGCAGUAGGGAAUUUUCGGCAAUGGAGGAAACUCUGACCGAGCAACGCCGCGUGAACGACGAAUUACUUUGGUAUGUAAAGUUCUUUUAUCAAGGAAGAAAAGCAAGUGGUGAACCAUUUGUUUGCCGGUACUUGAUGAAUAAGCCCCGGCUAAUUAUGUGCCAGCAGCCGCGGUAAGACAUAAGGGGCAAGUGUUAUCCGGAAUUAUUGGGCGUAAAGGGUGCGUAGGCGGUCUAGUAAGUCAGUGGUGUAAUGGCAACGCUCAACGUUGUCCGGCUAUUGAAACUGCUAAACUUGAGUUAGAUAGAGGCGAGUGGAAUUCCAUGUGUAGCGGUAAAAUGCGUAAAUAUAUGGAGGAACACCAGAGGCGUAGGCGGCUCGCUGGGUCUUAACUGACGCUGAGGCACGAAAGCGUGGGGAGCAAACAGGAUUAGAUACCCUGGUAGUCCACGCCGUAAACGAUGAGUACUAAGUGUCGGGUUAAACCGGUACUGAAGUUAACACAUUAAGUACUCCGCCUGAGUAGUACGUACGCAAGUAUGAAACUUAAAGGAAUUGACGGGACUCCGCACAAGCGGUGGAUCAUGUUGUUUAAUUCGAAGAUACCCGAAAAACCUUACCAGGUCUUGACAUGUUUUUGCGAAACGGUAGUAAUAUCGUGGAGGUUAUCAGAAACACAGGUGGUGCAUGGUUGUCGUCAGCUCGUGUCGUGAGAUGUUAGGUUAAGUCCUAAAACGAGCGAAACCCUUAUCGUUAGUUGCCAGCACGUUAUGGUGGGGACUUUAACGAGACUGCCAGUGAUAAAUUGGAGGAAGGUGAGGAUCACGUCAAAUCAGCAUGCCCCUUAUGACCUGGGCUACAAACGUGAUACAAUGGCUGUUACAAAGGGUAGCUGAAACGCAAGUUCUUGGCCAAUCCCCAAAAACAGUCUCAGUCCGGAUUGAAGUCUGCAACUCGACUUCAUGAAGUUGGAAUCGCUAGUAAUCGCGAAUCAGCAUGUCGCGGUGAAUACGUUCUCGGGGUUUGUACACACCGCCCGUCAAACCACGAAAGUUGGCAAUACCCCAAAACGGUAGCCUAACUCGUUUAUCGAGAGGGCGCUGUCUAAGGUAGGGUCGAUGAUUGGGGUUAAGUCGUAACAAGGUAUCCCUACCGGAAGGUGGGGAUGGAUCACCUCCUUUCU
Molecule: ribosomal RNA, 1451 nt
Filed under: Candidatus Phytoplasma citri
Lineage: Bacteria; Bacillati; Mycoplasmatota; Mollicutes; Acholeplasmatales; Acholeplasmataceae
Description: bacterial SSU rRNA
Rfam family: Bacterial small subunit ribosomal RNA
Source: RNAcentral